GUCGAACGGAAAGGCCCUGCUUGCAGGUACUCGAGUGGCGAACGGGUGAGUAACACGUGGGUGAUCUGCCCUGCACUUCGGGAUAAGCUUGGGAAACUGGGUCUAAUACCGGAUAGGAGCCAUCUUUAGUGUGGUGGUUGGAAAGUUUUUUCGGUGUAGGAUGAGCUCGCGGCCUAUCAGCUUGUUGGUGGGGUAAUGGCCUACCAAGGCGGCGACGGGUAGCCGGCCUGAGAGGGUGUACGGCCACAUUGGGACUGAGAUACGGCCCAGACUCCUACGGGAGGCAGCAGUGGGGAAUAUUGCACAAUGGGCGCAAGCCUGAUGCAGCGACGCCGCGUGGGGGAUGAAGGCCUUCGGGUCGUAAACUCCUUUCGCUAGGGACGAAGCUUUGUGUGACGGUACCUAGAUAAGAAGCACCGGCUAACUACGUGCCAGCAGCCGCGGUAAUACGUAGGGUGCGAGCGUUGUCCGGAAUUACUGGGCGUAAAGAGCUCGUAGGUGGUUUGUCGCGUCGUCUGUGAAAUUCUGGGGCUUAACUCCGGGCGUGCAGGCGAUACGGGCAUAACUUGAGUGCUGUAGGGGUAACUGGAAUUCCUGGUGUAGCGGUGAAAUGCGCAGAUAUCAGGAGGACACCGAUGGCGAAGGCAGGUUACUGGGCAGUUACUGACGCUGAGGAGCGAAAGCAUG
RNAcentral lists this ribosomal RNA (687 nucleotides) under uncultured Actinomycetales bacterium. RNAcentral's name for it is "bacterial SSU rRNA". It matches the Rfam family "Bacterial small subunit ribosomal RNA", at positions 61 to 763 of the family's 1533-position model. Lineage: Bacteria; Bacillati; Actinomycetota; Actinomycetes; Actinomycetales. The record is from RNAcentral.